UCUGUUCUUUCGGCGUCGUGUUGUGCUCGUAUUUACGUCUUACACGGCCUAACCUAUAAAUGUCAGAUCGUUGCGUGCCUUUCGUCUGCUCUCAGUUUUUAUGAAUUCCAUUUAUAUUAAUUGCAGGUUGUUGUUUUUGUGUGGCGGUUGAAUCAGGGGUUCAAACAGGCGGUGGUCCAGGUUUUCGUGCUUUUAAAACGUGUGUGUGAGUAUGGGUUAUCCAUGAUUUCCGAGGAGUUUUUAUAUCGUUUUGUUAUUUGGGACAUGGAUCAGGAUGUAUUCUUUUUAAUUGUUCCUCUUGCGAUUCAGGCUUGGGGAUGUUUGUUUCAUUAUUAUUGUAUGCAACGUGAGUAUAUUUGCUGUUUGUGU
Long non-coding RNA from Ceratina calcarata, 369 nucleotides. RefSeq lists it as uncharacterized. The transcript has 3 exons. Lineage: Eukaryota; Metazoa; Arthropoda; Insecta; Hymenoptera; Apidae. The record is from RefSeq and is a predicted model, not a curated record.